UCCCUGGAUUCAAGGUCUCAGAACGCAGCAGUUCUGAAUCCACCUGUCUGCAAUAUCCCCGGCCGCCAAAGCUAGACCCCUUCCUCUUAGGUCUCCGGCUCAAAAGGUCGUGUUCAGUACAAGGAUUCCAACAAAUCCGGGCCUCAACCGUGAUCUCCGGUUUUGACAGUGCAGCUCUGAGGAUACACAACCGCUGUUCAUUCCUGCAGUCCACAAGCCAGUUCCCGUUCACCGGAAUUUUUCUUUUGCCAUGGUUGUUUUAUUUUAGUCACCUUCCACAGUAAGAAACAGGAUCCCAUGGUUGCCUUUCUGCCUUUGUUAUCACUUCUGCCUGACUGUGCUAGAGUCUCAAAACAAGAUUUGCUCGAAGCCACAGGAGCAAGGAGUUCUUCAGCUUGUAAGGAAGGCACCAGGAAGUGUCUGAGGCCGGGCAGCAAGCAGGUGGUGUGAGGCCUGAGUGGUCAGCCAGCACCACACUCCCUGUGUGUCAGGGGAAGAUCCCAGUGAGGUUGGUAAAUGCCUCGAGUGUAGAAAUAGACUACAGUGUGGUGAUGUGGGGUCACCCUGCUGCCUCAGCUAUCAGAACCUUAAGGAUUCCCAGUGAAGAUGAAAGAAAGAAGAAAAAUAAAUAAAUACCAUUUGAUCCAAGUGCUGAAGAUUUUUACAGAUAUGCCACUUUAGGUCUCUGCUCAAGGAUGAACUAUUUCUA
Molecule: long non-coding RNA, 709 nt
Filed under: Mus pahari (shrew mouse)
Lineage: Eukaryota; Metazoa; Chordata; Mammalia; Rodentia; Muridae
Description: lncRNA (MGP_PahariEiJ_G0005385.1)
Source: RNAcentral